GCUGUCAGUUUGUGGGCUGGUGC
RNAcentral lists this microRNA (23 nucleotides) under Ixodes ricinus (castor bean tick). Its description in RNAcentral is "iri-miR-X26-5p". The record is from RNAcentral. Lineage: Eukaryota; Metazoa; Arthropoda; Arachnida; Ixodida; Ixodidae.